AGUAAAAUUUUAAUUUAACUUUUUAAUUAAUUAAAAUAAUAAUAAAUAUAUUUACAGUUAAUUUAAUAAAAAUAAAAUAAUUUAUAAAAUAAUAAAAAUUUGUAUUGUAAAAGAAAUUAAAUAUUAAUUAAACUAAAAGAUAAAUUAUAAUUUUUACCUUUUGUAUCAGGGUUAAUUAAAAUAUUUUAAUUAAAAUUAAAUAUUUCGAAAUUAAUUGAGUUAAAAUUUAAAUUUAUUUAAUGUAAUAAAAUUAUUAAAAAUUAAAUUUUAGUAAUUAAAUGUUAUUCGUAAUUAAUUAUAUCUAAUUUUUUAAUAAAUGAAUUCAAUUCAAAAGUUUAAUUUUACUAUUAAUAAUUUAAAUUAUUAAUAAUUAAUAAAUUUUAAAAUUUUAAGGGAUAAACUUUAAAAUUAAUAUUAUAAAUUAACUAAAAUUAAAAAUUUUUAAAUAUAAUUUAAAAUUUUAAUUUUUUGAAAAUAUUUAAUAAUUUAAAGUAUAAUUUAAAUUAAUAAUUUAAAAUAAAAUUUUAAUAAAUUUAUUAAAAUAUAAAUUUUAAUUUUAUAAAUUUAGUAAUAAUGAUUAAAUUAGUAAAUUAAAUUUUAUAUAAAUAAUUAAUUUUAAAUUAAAAAUUAAUUUAAUGAAUUAGGCAAAAUAAAAUAUUUACCUGUUUAUUAAAAACAUGUCUUUAAAUAUUAAAUUUAAAGUCUAAUCUGCUCAAUGAAAAUUUUAAAUAGCUGCAGUAUUUUAACUGUACCAAGGUAGCAUAAUAAUUUGUCUUUUAAUUAAAGAAUUGAAUGAACGAUUUAAUAAAAUAUUAACUUUAUAAAUUUAAUUAAUAUUUAAAUUUUAUUUUUAAGUAAAAAAUCUUAAAUUUAAUUAUUAGACGAUAAGACCCUAUAAAACUUUAUAUUUAUUAAAAUUUAAUAAAAAAUUUAUUAUAAUAUUAAUUUAGUAAAAUAUUAUAUUGGGGCUAUAAAAAAAUUAAAUUAAUUUUUUUAUUAAAUUUUACAUUUAUAAAUGAAAUAUAAAAUAAGAGUGUUAAUUAUAAAAUAUUAGAAUAAGUUACUUUAGGGAUAACAGCAUAAUUUUUUUAAAUAGAUCAUAUUGAUAAAAAAGAUUAUGACCUCGAUGUUGAAUUAAGAUAAAUUUUAAAAGAAGAUUUUUUUAAAUUAAGUCUGUUCGACUUUUAAAAUCUUACAUGAUUUGAGUUAAAAUCGGUGUAAGCCAGAUUGGUUUUUAUCUUUAAUAAAUUUAUAAAUAUUUGUACGAAAGGACUUUAUUUAUUAAAUAAUUAAAAUUAAAUAAAUUGAAUAAAAUAAAAUAAAAUUAAAUAAAAUUAAAUAUUUAAAUAAUAAAAUGUUAA
This 1361-nucleotide ribosomal RNA is filed under the name Alloxysta sp. ZJUH_2016001. RNAcentral describes it as "16S ribosomal RNA". The record is from RNAcentral. Lineage: Eukaryota; Metazoa; Arthropoda; Insecta; Hymenoptera; Figitidae.